GAGCAACAGUGAAAAGGUUUUACUACUGACCUUUAUAACUAAUACUGUGAAUGUUUCUACACUUGAUCUGAGCUCA
Molecule: small nucleolar RNA, 76 nt
Organism: Bison bison bison
Lineage: Eukaryota; Metazoa; Chordata; Mammalia; Artiodactyla; Bovidae
Source: Ensembl